CGACUCUCGAGAGCCCCACGCCGACGCUGACUUCAAAUCCGCCAACGAAAAAUCUGGGUUUGUUCCUAUUUCGAUCUUCUGAAACGGAGGACGCAGCAGCUCACAAAUCAACUCCUUUCUCCCUCCGACGCGACCACUUAGGCCAUCGCCUCCGCUCGAUUCCCUGCAUCCUCGCACGUUUUUCCCCUGCUUGUGGGUAGUGAGGUUCGGGCAACCUUCGGAGGCCUGCGCUUUCUCUCUUUAAGCCUUCUUGGGUCGUCAGGACGGAGGCAAGUUCCUCUUUUUGUCUGUCGAGGGAGGCUUGAAAGAAGCCGGAACUCCUUGCGUCGUCUGCCGUGGGAGCAGAAGGAUCGAUUGUCACCGUUGCCGCGGAAAAGGGUCUCCGCGAAAAAGGUCUCUCUCUCUUUCUCUCUCGGUGGCAAACCCAGAUGGUUUGGUUAGAUAUCAGCUCAGGUUAUUGGUGAAAUCUCCUAACUUGUUGCAAGUACAUACCAUUGCGUUGAGUACCUAGCGGCUGGGAGCCGGCGGCUACGGCCAACCUCCCUCGGGUUUGUACAUUGGAUGUGUGUCGUCAUGUGAAGGCCGGUUCUGAUGACAAAAUCUAUAGGACCAAUUCAUACAUGUUUGUGCCGUAGGCGAAGGCGUAACCUUAAAAAGGAAAAAAGAAGGAAAGAGAAAAGAGAGAAGCAUAAUGCAACAGCCAGAUUUCUUGUUUUAUCCCCUUCCUUCGGAUACCCACUUUAAUGUUUGAAUGAACAAUCAGCUGUUGUGUGAAAAACAUUCUGGGAGUUUAGUCUUGGUGGUUUGUUGCGGGAGCCUCUCUGUGUUCAUAGAUAGAGCCUCGAUCUAAAUCUAAUCUAUGCAGAGAGUCAAGAGUUUGCUGCAAUUAAUGACCGGAGUUGUAAAUGUUAUUGGGGGAUCGCUAGCUUUCUUUGAGGUCCUGAUCAGAAUAGAAAUGUUGUUUGUGAGAGAUCUGCACGUGCAACACUGUUGCAAGUGUCUGCUUAUGGAUAUCUCGUGGGGAUGAACUUGAUUAGUUUCCAAAUGUGAGGGCAUAGAUUGACCUUAUGCAUUGUUCUUGCAAGAGAGAUUCCAUAUAGUUCUCUCUUUUCGGUACUAGCAGCUGUUAAAUUCAGGCUUGCCCUAUCUAAGAUGGGAGGAAAUAUCUCUCUAGGUGGAUAGUGAGGAAUUGAAAAGCAUGAAGGCUACUGCUACCUAGUGAAUUGAAGAGAUCCCAUUGCAUUACUAGUGAACCGGUUCAGACUUAUGAGUCAUGGACCACAAGUUAUGGUGGCUUGAUAAGAGGGCAAAGCUCCACAUAUGGUCAAGCGCUGAUAGUCUACUCUUUUCCAAGCAAAGAGACCACUAGGCUUAUGUUUUAUAGCUUCCAUCCACAUAAGAGUCUGUAUGAGUAGGUUUUGUUGUAAUUACGGUGGUCUUCUUCAAUGCUGCUUCUUGUUCCAUAACAAAACACACACUGCAUCGCCAUGACUUCCUUGGAAUUUCACCUUUUGUCCCCUUGCUUAUUUUGCAUCAUCUGGGUUUGUUGUGGGGUGUAAGGGGGUCGAGAAAAUUACAGUGGCAAGUGUGCUUUCAAUCAGAAUGAGAGCAUAGAUUCAUGGCAUUUCGGUAUUCUUUUGGCCACUUAAUUAAGUUUUCUGCGAUUGGCAGAUUUCUCUUUGUUUUAUUUACUACUUUUGUUGGGUGUUCCUCCGCUGAAUCCUCGUAUUAUUUGCUGCUGUAGAGCUGAUCGACCAACGAAAUUGAGUUCACCUACAGUAUCAAUUAUAUUCAACAACUGUUAACUAUUUGACUCCAUUUAUUCUUGGUGAGUUUUUUAUGUCUAGGUCAGCCCCUUUGUGCGGAGGGUGGAGUGGGCAUUGAAGCUCAAGGGCAUAGCCUACAACUGCAUCGAGGAAACAUCCUCAACAAGAGCGCUCUGCUUCUGUGGCUCAACCCUGUUCACCAGAAAGUCCCUGUCCUCGUCCAUGGAGAGUCCAGAGUAGUCUACGAGUCCAGGAGGAAUGAAGCCCUAUGUCAAUUAUUGCACCUGCUCCUUGCUCGGUGCAGAGAAUAGCUUUGCUUGCCCUUGUUUUCCUUAUGAGUUGAGCUUUGGAUUUGUAUUUAAGAUUCAAGAGUUAAGUAUAGAUCGUAAUAAUGUGGUUUAGUGCGGUUUUUGAGUUACUCUGCUCCUGUGUAUGAUUUCACUCUUAUCUUAGAUUGUUGGUUGUGCAAAUUGACAGUUGAAGCUCC
Molecule: long non-coding RNA, 2253 nt
Organism: Eucalyptus grandis
Lineage: Eukaryota; Viridiplantae; Streptophyta; Magnoliopsida; Myrtales; Myrtaceae
Exons: 3
Source: RefSeq, a predicted model, not a curated record